ACUUGGUUCAGGUUAUUUUGUUUGGGCUUAGCCCAAGACUGGUUAAACGUAAUAGGUUUAAAGAGAAUGUAGCAGCCGCCGUUCUAUAAUAAGGAGAACCCUAACCCCAGUUCAUCACCCCUAGAAGCAGAAACGUCGACCCCUUCUAACGUAUGUAACGGUCCGGGAUUUAAGGUAACUCCUCGCCCAUGUCAUCUGGUAUUUCAGAAGUGUGAAUUUGUGGGUUAUUUAUAUUGUAACGCUGCUAUGUGUUGCUGUGAUUCAUUGUUUGAUUAAUUGUGAGGUGGGGGUUAUGAGUGGGGGAGAGAUCUAGAUAACCUCAGAACAAAGACACCGCGGGAUAAGGAGGAAGAGAUCCGGUGCUUUGAUGAGGGCGAUUACCCUUGGGAUGCGCACUGAGGAGGGAAUUGUGUAGGUGGCGUACAGUAGAACUGGAAAAAAGGCGAUGAGUGAUGUAGACCCUAAUCGAUAUUGUGUUGUUGGUGCUUUGUUACUUCAAUCAUAUAUGAGUGGAAAGCUUAUUGUUGAUAAAUCCAGGUAAACUGACAAAUUCCAUAUUGUUCUGGGGACUAUGUUAUUUAUAAGUUAGAGAAUCAAUUCUAAACCUAAAUUUAUGUAAAUACCUUGCUUUUAAAAUACUUAUAAUAUAUUUUCGCAUGUAUGAAUUGCAAUGAGUCACGUUGAUGCUUGCAUGUUGUGUAAUUGAGAAGGCAACAGAUUAGUUUAGAAAAAAAAGUAAAGUUGAAUAUCCACAAUUAAUUAAUGUAAGGGUAGUCUUGGGUAAUGGAAUGGAACAUCAAAAGAAGGUUCUGUGUUGGGGGAAUUGUAUUAUAGAAGCAGUUUUUACGAAUCAUGAUUUUUAUUGUUAUUGGAUUUUCUGUCCAUGUUCAUCGGCUGAUUGAUUGUUGAUAGUCCUAUCUAAAUGCAUUUUCUGUUUUUGAUUGCUUCUCCGGUCCCCCCGCAUUGUAAUGCUUCGCCUCUGCCCCGACAGAAUCACGGAAGGAAUAAUUUAACACGGAAGGGCAGCUCCAAAAUUGUUUAGGCGGCUAGUGGUUCCCUCGUUCUAUACCUAAUCACGAAUCGGUUAGUAAUAUAGUAACUUUUGUUGGGUAUAAAGCUAUCCUGGAUUAUAAUAAAUUUUUUCGUUUCGAAACUCCAAUUUAUAGUUUCUUGACAAAAAAAAGGCAAAAUAAUCACUCAGAACUUGGUUAAAUUUCAUUCAUUCCAGUUCAACUUAGUACGUGAAUAAAAAGUCGUUAGAACAGAGAAUACUGGUGUAUUGUAUAGUUUUUUGUGCCUGUUGUUAGUAAUUAGUUGAGUACGUGCUGCCGUAAAGUCGGAUAGUUUUAAAGGAUUGUUGGAGAGGGCUGUCUGGUCCGAUAUCAGUGAAGGUAUCAGCCGGGGAAGGAAUAAAAGUAAAAUGGAAUAAGAAAGAAGAUGUUAGUAUUUGGUUUAAUGAAUGUUGGUACGGAAUUGUAAAGUUAUUGGGUUUAGGGCGUGGGUAUUUUGUGAUUUUUAAGUGUAACGGAAGAUCUAAAUUUAAGUUCCCGAUGAUCCAUUCGAGUGACUCGGAGCUUGAUUAUUCGAGUUUCAUAAGUUUCCAUGACGAUCACUACCUUGUGGGAAAUAAUUUUCCGAGUCAUAUGGGGUGAGCAUUAUGGAAACUUCUGAAACUUGAGUAUUCAAUCUCCGAAGCACUCGAACAGAUCACCAUGAGAUUAAAUUUAGAUUCACCAUUAUACUUAAAAAUCACAAAAUACCGAUGCUUUAACCUGUAUAGCUCGACAACUCCGUGCCAAGCUGCAUUCAACCAAACACUGUCAUCUUCUUUCUUGAUCCAUUUUGCUUUUAUUCCAUCCGCAGCUGAAAAUUCCAACGAUAUUGGAUUUGAUAGUCCUUUCUAGUAAUUCUUUUUGAAAAAACGACGGGAAAGACCGUACCCGGCAACACAUACUAAACAAGAUAUUAACAAUCGACACAGAAGAUUAAAUAUUAACUGGAUGGAUGAUGAUGUUUGUUUUUUCUUUGUUGAGGGAAUAUUAAAUUGAAUUUUACUCGG
This is a non-coding RNA of Arachis ipaensis, 2059 nucleotides long. Lineage: Eukaryota; Viridiplantae; Streptophyta; Magnoliopsida; Fabales; Fabaceae. The record is from RefSeq and is a predicted model, not a curated record.